RNAcentral lists this long non-coding RNA (1819 nucleotides) under Homo sapiens (human). Its description in RNAcentral is "HSALNT0352121". Lineage: Eukaryota; Metazoa; Chordata; Mammalia; Primates; Hominidae. The record is from RNAcentral.
CAUUUUCUACAAGACCCCAAGAGAUGGACUUUCCUCUCCCCUUCCUCCUUUUAGAAAUGGCAUCCUUCAUCUCUGUCUAGGCAGGCCCAAUUAUCCAGAUACUUGGGGCUCCAAUAGGGUCUGAGUCAUUGGAACCAGGAACACCUGGCUGAAACAUGCCACAUAAUUAGAUUUUCUUUUUCUUUACCUUUUCUUUCUUAUUUUUAUAAGAGGCCCGGAAUUAGCCUCUUCGACUGGGGCGGAGUAGCUGGGGUGUGGGAAAGGAACACCUUCAUACAACUUCCAGCUUUCAGCCCCUUGGAGAGAUUUCCAAAUUCCCCAGAGCCUCUAGGACUUCCUUUCCUCGAUCUCUCGGCCACCUCCUCCUCCUUCUCCGAUCUGUUUUUUUUUCCCUCCUCCCACUGUCUUCUCUAUGGUUUAAUCAAAGUUCAGCGACUCCACUUGCCUCUCCUCUCAUUUCUUUCGGAAAGGGGAAACCAGACGACCCAGCGGCCACGGGACGAGUCGCCCCAACUCAACCCCAGCAGGACGCUGGAGGGGCCUCCCUUGCCCACCUCUCUUCGCUGGCACUGGCCUCCUGCACCCGGGUCUGCAGUCCCUCCGCCAUCUCACAAGUGUGCAGCCGCUAGGCCUGGGGGAUCCGAAUGACUGGGGCUGGAUAGGAAUGCCUUCGUGUUUCCCAAGACCCCCGGGCCUGCUCCACAAAGUUUGAAGGGUGGGUACACCCCGACCCAGGCAAGUUACUCCCCCAAACCCAUGACUGACUAAUCUGAUAUGACAAAAGCCCAUGAUGGAUUUGGUAUAUGUUAAUUCACAAUGCCCUUUCCUCCAGAAUUUAACUAUAAGUUAAUACACACCGGAAACCACGCGCAUGCACGCUCCUUAAUGGGCUUAGGUAUUAGCGAGUCCUAACGAUGCAUACAAAUGUGCUCUGCGCUCUGUAGACCCCUCAAGAUUUAUGGGCCUUGAGCUCUCUGAAGCUGUAAACAAGGAGAAAAAAAAAAGAGAAAGCGAAAGCGACUGGGGGGAAGAGACAGAGGCCUGACUCGCCCCUCCAGGUUUUGGAGAGAAGGGAUUCUUUAUGUAUUUUCCUUUCCUUGCAAGCUCGGAGCUCAGAGAUGCCCGGGAAGACGGGGGGCCCGAAUGGAAGCAGAAAAACACUUAUGGCCGCUGGGAAGUUGGGAGAGCCAGGCUGGGACUCCGGCAGGCCCAGGGAAAGUUCCCCUUCUAGGCUCUUUAUUAAAAAAUUUAAAAGGAGGAGUUGAGGCGCCUUGAAUUUUCCUUCGCGAGUUUGGAGACCAGCCGAUUUUUCACGAAGCAAGCAAAGACCGCGGUCCCGGAUCCUGCAACAUAUACCUCAUUUUCUCCAGGCCUCUCCACUUGCCCGAGCUCUCAGCCACCAGGAGACAGACGGAAGGGGCUUCUGGGCUGUGUUGGGAGCGGGCAUUGUCCCCUACCCACUCCUGCACAGUUUCCCAAAGUCCAGCCACCUCCGACCCUCCUUGGGGGAAAAAAUACCAGUACCCAGACACCUCUGCACCCUGUUAUAUGACUGGGCUUGCUUCAGGAAUAUCUUACAAAGAAGAAGGAGGAGGAGGAGGAACGGCUUGGAGUCAUGUUUACAUCUAGUUCUACUGAUCCGUUCACAUCUGGAGAGUUUAUUUAUAACUCCCUCUAUAACUCUCUGUUUGGAGGCACUGGUGGCUCUACUGACAGACUGAUGUCUAGGAAAUAUUGCUCUAUGUCUAAUGGUACCUAAAUGUGCUGUGGUUGUAUUUACAGAUUUACGUUUGAGGGAAAUAUAAUUAUUUCCAUUGUA